This is a long non-coding RNA of Cuculus canorus (common cuckoo), 3918 nucleotides long. RefSeq lists it as uncharacterized. The transcript is spliced from 9 exons. Lineage: Eukaryota; Metazoa; Chordata; Aves; Cuculiformes; Cuculidae. The record is from RefSeq and is a predicted model, not a curated record.
GGCUUCUAUAAGGUCUCCCUAGAGCCUUCUCUUCUCUAGGCUGAACAACCCCAGCUCUCUUAGCCUGUCCUCAUAUAGGACGUGCUCCAGCUCUCUGAUCUUCUUCUUGGCCCUCCUCUGGACUUGAUCUAACAGAUCCAUGUGCUUACUGUGCUGAGGACUCCAAAACUGAACACAGGACUCCAGCAGCAGGACUUCUGAGCGAGCACAGAUAAACAAGAAAGACAAUGGCAGACAAGGUAAAACAGCCUUUUUUUUCUUCUCUUUUUGCUCUGAAUUCCUGCAUUGUUACCAGUUCAGUAAGACCACAAGUGAUUACAGGGCUGAGUAGCAUACAAAAGCUAAAUCAUCUAUCAGGUGCCAGGAAUAAAAACAAAAUCCCAUCAAAUGGAAACAGCUGAUCUGCCACAUCAGCCAUAGCACAUCCUAAAAGCCUGAUCAUCUCUCUUUUGCCAAUUUACCACUGAAGAGCACAGUGUCAGCAUCUCGAGCAGCCUGUAGCAAGAGGUAGCAUUUCAUGAAAAUAAUAAGGCUUUGGAUAUAGCAAUAUCUGUGCAAGGAUUUCAUUAGCAAGGCCUGUCCUGUUUCCUGAAGGCUCGUCAUUAUAGCAGAUUUGCUAAUAAAUCUGAUCUGAAAGUUAUGUAUCUCAUGCUAAAUUUUCCUUUCCUAAGCUCUUUUCCAACAUCCAAAAACUUUCUGCAAAACCCAGGUGGGGAUCUAACCUCUGAUCUGCUUUUUCAAGCUUGCCUCAGGAAUAAUAUUAUAAAAAUCAAAUAGGAAGGUAAUGAAAAUACAUUUUCCUGGCAGGGUACAUGCUCUAGGGGAAAGUCAGUUAAUGCAGGGAUUAAAUUCAAAACUCAUACAUGCAUGAUAAGUCUAGAUAAUAUGAUUUGCAAAAUGGUACCGUACUUUAAACUCGGCCCCUGAUACCUUUUGUGUAUCUGCUUUCUCUGGGAGAGGAAUUUCUUCUGGGUGACUGCAGCAAAUCCUGAGAUGCCAAAGUCCUUUCCUGCAACUGCCCGCUGUAUGUGCAGAUGUCAGCCAAAGCUGGUAAAGCAUCUAUUUAUUUCAAACCCACGUAGUGGGCUAUUAAAUUCACUGCUGUUUUGGGACUGAUGAUUGGUUACUAAUGUCUCUAAUAUUUCCAAUGCAGCUAGUAUUAUAUGAAUGAAGAUACAAAUCAAACCCUGAAUUUAACUCAUUUCAUGAUACGUGGGAAAAAUACAUUAGUGGGAACUUAGUAUGACAAUGGGCAUUCACAUUACAUGAGACAUCAGUUAUGCAGGUAUCCUGGGCCAUGAAAGUGUUUUAAGGUGUGUUUAAUGGGCAAACAUCUAAAGAUAUAUAGGUAAUAAUCUUUGCCAUUCUGCAGCACUUCACUAAAGUGCAUCUGUAAGGUAGCAAAAGAAUAUGUUUCUUAGAAAUGUUCAAUUAUAAUGAUAAUAGUGACCUUUGUUAAACAUGAGUGCACUCUCAUUCAAGUAUGGAAUUCCUGAUUUGCAGAAGGAAAUAUUUUCCAUUGCAACCUUUAUGUAAGGUCCAAAUGAUAAUUUAGUGCUUUAAAAUGGGACUUUUCAGGCUUACUGCAGAAAUCUCUAGCAGAAUAUGGGUCUAGAUGAAAAGAACAGGUAAUAAUUCUUCAUAAUGUUUGACUUCUUAAUGUAAUUCCCGUGGGACUCUAUUGCUAUAAAUUCUGGGUUUGUUUUUGUGUUCUGUGAGGUUUUUCAAUGAAGAAGUGAUUACAGUUUUAAAAUUUCUUGUGGGUUUUUUUUCCUAUUCACAGACAUAUGUGCACUUGGACAGUAAGUAUGAGCGAUUUGACAGAAAAGGAAGGGGUUUUGUGAAGAAGGCACUGGCCUGAAGCUCUAGAGAUCUGGACUCAGCACCUGGCUCUGUACCAGGGCUCUCAGGUGACCCAGGUGCAGCUCAGCAGGACGUUGGAUGUGGAGCACGGCUCUGGGCAGGGCUCAGUGCCUCCACACCAGCCCUCCGCGCUAGCCAGAAGAUGCAGCAGCCCCCCUGAGCCCAGGGGCACCGAGCUGCACCUGAUGGGACCACAGCUGAUGCUAACCCCAGUUUAGGCAGCCUUGCCCCAGCUCCUGUUUAGCUGUUGAGCCGACCCAGAGCUCCUCACACAAGUGUCACCCCCAACACCCACAGACCCCACUCGCUCACACUGAGGAGAGGGGGGAUGGGUUCAGGGCCCCUUUAGCUCUGUCCCUUCCCUAGGGAUUCUUCCCAACUAUAAUGCUUUUCCAGUUGCUCUCUCAUAACCUUUCCCACACAAGCUCCAGUAACGUUCUUCUCAUCUCAAAGCCCGUCUCAUUGCAGCUCCCAGGUAACUCCACCAGAAAACGCCUGUGUAAAUGGAAGCAGCCACAGAUCUCUCUCUAGUAAGUCAGAGCUACAUUAAUCCACUACUGGAAUAAGAUACAGUAAUUUCAAGCCAUACAAAUUAUGCAGAAUGAAAAUCUCAGCCAUUGGAGCAAGACCACCUAAUAUAGUUUCCUUAUUCCUAACACUUCAGGAGGAAUCAGGUUGUGAACUACUGGGUUGGGCAGUCAAUCCAGACCUCUGCCAGUCCUCGGACCCAGAUUUAAAAAAGAAAUGAUGAUGCUUGUUUGCACUUCUUUUACAAAAUUAACUUUGCAGAUUUGCUGAAGUGGAGGACCACAAUGAACAUGCUCUUGCUCUGAAGUCCAUGUUCCUACACAGCGUAACAGGGGAGGAGAGUGAGGAGGGAAAGAGGCAGAGGAAGGAAGAACACUGGAUGACGUGACUUGGUCCUAUCGUUGGUCACCAGAGAGAAGAGAUCAGCAAGCUGAGCAGCAGCGCGGUUGCAACAUCUUUUUGUUACAGACGGUUUGGCAAACUUUUUCCAGUUUUUCCAAACAUCCUGGAACAAAAUUUAUUCUGCAAUAAUGAGAAAAGUACUAAGAAAUGGACUUGUGAAAACCAACUGCAUGUGUCACCACUAACAUUUCAAGCAAAGUUAUGAUCUACAGCUACUUUUCCAUUGCUAAUGUGAUGAAGGCAGUUAUGGAGCUCAUCACUCAGCCUAAGGAGGGUUUCAGGCAGGAAAACUGUUUCCACCAGGCUGUUCCUAUGUACUGGGAUUUUUAUACUGCUCUGGUGUCCUUCCUGAACAAAGAGAAUGACAGACCUCCGAAAGUGAUAUCAUCCAGCAAUUCAGAUACCCAUGGUCUUUCAGAAGAUUAUGCAAGGUAAGAAAAGGAAGAUCUUCUAGCCUGAUAGAAAAGUGAAGCUGGAGAGAAUGACUUGGAAGUUAACAUUUCCUGACUUCCCAAUGCAGACCAAAGGGCAAAUGCUUUUGGUGGUGCAGCUGCUGAGGUGACGAUUACAGACAGAGACCAUGGGCUGGUCUUGACUGUGUACCUUUGAAGGCAAAAAGGAGCGUAGGUCUCUUCCAAGGGAGGAAUGAAGUGGAGCAGAAAAUGUUAGAAGCACUUUCGUCACUCACUUUUGUUAGAUGGAGAGUUUGAAGCCUAUCAAUAUUUGAUGUACAAUUGCCACCUGAACACAAAAUCAUCUUUAACUGUUCCCAUCCAGCUCUGCAGCUCCUGUGUGUUCCUGCACCCUAUCUGUCUGUGGCCUGAGCUUGUUAUGGGUAGAGGAGGGGACACUAGUGAUGGCUGUGGCUGUACUCUGAGUCAAUGGAUGGAUCUGUUUUCCUGGGGUCAUUGCUAUGGUGCUCAGAGCCAAGCCAGAGAGCUCUGCGCUGUUCCAUAAUAUUCUUGACUUAACCUGAUGGACCUGUAGUAUUUAACUACCUUUAAAUUGAGGAGUAGAACUGGGGAUUUUGCUUGAUUGUUUUUUUUGUUCCUUUGGUGUGUUGUAGUUCUGUUUCAGGGUGUUGCUUUUUUAAAACUAUAUAAAUUCUAUUGGUUAAAUCAAGGU